Molecule: long non-coding RNA, 3264 nt
Organism: Hippopotamus amphibius kiboko
Lineage: Eukaryota; Metazoa; Chordata; Mammalia; Artiodactyla; Hippopotamidae
Exons: 3
Source: RefSeq, a predicted model, not a curated record
ACAGAAGCAUUGCUUUUACAGCCAGAUAAGCGGGCAGCCUAAAAUCCCUGGCUUCUCAGGAAGGAGGACAUUUAAGAAGUAGCAGCUGGACAGGCUGGUGGAUAUUGCUGGGACACCUGGAAAACCAGGCCUGUGGGAGCACCACACAUCAUGUGGGAUCUUAGCUCCCCAACCAAGGAAUCUUAACCACUGGGCCACCAGGGAAGUCCUCUGAGUGCAUUCUUGAUGUCUUUCCUGCUCAGUAAGAGGAAGAAAGGAGCUGGGAAGAGGCUAUUAUUUGGUCCAUUUGCUGAAUAGGGAUAGGAAUAGAUGUUUGCUAGUGCUGCUUAAUUCUACACAGGACAACAUGUUCCUUGGGUUCUGAUAGCAUUGCUGGUAUUUGCUUUGAAACCUCUUAUCUGGCACAGAUAUGAUGGAUCUGCUCAGGUCCUUGAACCCCUUUCUCCUCAUUUUCAUCAUUCAAAAAUUCUUAUUGAGUCUUUACUGUAUCCCAGGCACUGUGCAUAUAGUAUUAACUACCUAAUAAGGAAUUCAUGUGGGGUAUGAUAAGCAAUGAGAUUGAAAAGAUAAGUAGUGGGAUGAUCAUACUUUAUCCUAAAAGCAAUGCAGAGCCUUUGAAUGGUAUUAAGCAAGGGGGUGUCAUGAUUAGAACUGCAUUUUAAAAAGAUCGCUGUGGUUGCAAUGUGGAGAACAGAUUAGAGACAGCAAGAUUGAUGUCAGGGAGACCAGACAGAAAGUUUUUGUAGUAAUUUGGAAAAAUGAGAAACGAUGUGUGCUGGACUAGGAAAAUGAUGAUGAUGAUGGAGAGGAGAUGACUUCAAGAAAUAAACAGUAUUAAAGUCAGCAGGUCUUGGGAUUGGAAGUGGAGGGACGCAGAGAGCUAAGCCAAGACCUCCGGACCACUCACUGAAAUAUCAAACACCUGAAGGAAAGCAGGUUUGGGAGAUGAUAUGCUCACUUCCAAACAUGUUGACAUUGAAAUGCCUGAGAGAUGUCCAAGCGGAAAUGUCUAUCCAAGAGGUCAGAGCUUCUCAACUGUUGUGCCUCAGGAAGAAGUUACAGAUGUGCUGCAUGUUGAUGUUCUCAACCCUCAGAGCAGCACAAGGUCCCUCCAACAGACAGCAGUCUCAGUUAGGUGGACUGCCACGAAAACACCAUCAUUUUCUAUGCAUGCCAUGAUGUGGGAAAUGUUGGGAAGUACUGAUAUAUGAUGAUGUUGGAUAAAUAAUUCUGAAGCUCAGAAGAGAUAUCUGGACUACAGAUAAGACAUCUGUGAGUCAUCACAACAUCAGAACAUAGGUGGUAACUAAAGCCAUGGAGUGGAGGAGAUCAUGCAAGGAAAGAAGGGGGACUGGAACAGAACCCGAACAAACAUUAGAGAGGGAUCUGCAGAGAAGGAGGAAGACAACUGGCUAAGUGCUGUCACCAGAGCCCAAGAGGUUUCCAAAAAAAGACCAAAUAGUUCCCGAUAUUGCUGACGUCAAGUUGGAUCAGGACUGAGACAUACCUGCUGACUUUAGCUACAUGUGGUUGGUGACUUUGGCAGAACCAAAUUUCGAGAAGCGUUGAGAAAGUGGUACACAGUAAGGAAUGAAGACAAGAAGUAUUUAAAGAAUUUUGGCUAUGCUGUGAGGGAAAAGUUAGACAGAUAGGUGGGUGGGGCAAUGGGGGAUAAGAGUUAUUUUAGAGAAUUAGUUUUAGAAAGACAGUGCUUCUUAAUUUUCAGAAUUAUUUAAAAUUUAUUUUAAAAAAGCAUUAAGUGCAUUAAAUGCUUAUACUGUUAUUCUUUGAUUUUUCACUUUUAGGAUAUUUUAUUACCCUCUAUGUAUAUAUUCCUUUCUUUUCCUUUUUUCUUUUUUCUUACAUAUUUUUUUAAAAGGUACAAAAAUGGGAUCUUACCAUUCAUAUUGUUCCGCACCUUACAUUUUGUGCUUAAAAUAUCUUGGAGACCUUUCAGUACUAGCAUAUUUAGAUCUACCUUGUUCUUUUAAACAAUUGCAUAGCAAUCUAUUUAUGACUGUACCAUAUUGUUUCCUAACUGAUGGCCAUUUAGGUCGUUUCCAGCUUUUCACUUUUAUCAACCAACUGUAAUGGAUGACAUUGUAUACAAAUCCUGGCAUACUUAUGUGAGUGUAUCCACAGGAUAAAUUCCUAGCGGUAGAAUUCCUGGGUAUGUUCAGUAAACAUUUUGGAUAAUUAUUGACAAAUUGCCUUUCAGAUUUGUCACGCUGAUUUACAUUCCCACCAAUAAGGUAUAAUAAUACCUAUUUCCCCACAUUCUCACCAUCACUGUUUAAAAAUUUUGUGAAUAUUGCUUUAAGUGAUGAAAUGUUCUUUCAUUGUUUUUAUUUGCAUGUAAUUAAUAAGGAGAAAGAGUAAACAAAUUAUCAGAUGUUUAUCUGCCAGAUAAUAACCAGAUGUUUGUCAUGUUCUGUGAAUGUCUAUUUGCCAUGGGACUUACUGAAAUUCUCUCUUUGCCUUAGGUAGUCAAAUUUAUUGCUCUUUUUCUUUAUGGCUCUCGGGUUUUUUGUGUUUAGAAAGUACUCCAAAUUUUUAAGUUAACUUUUUUCUCUAGUAUGCUAUGGUUUUCUUUUUACUUUAAAUAUUCCACCCAGAAGAAAUGUGGAUGGACCUAGAGACUGUCAUACAGAGUGAAAAAUAGAGACAGACGCAGAGAAUGGACAUAUGGAACUAGAUCCUGCAUGAAUGCCACAACUGAGAGUCUGCAUGCCACAACCAAGGAGUCUGCAUGCUGCAACUAAGAUCCCACAUGCUGCAGCUAAGACCUGGUGCAGCCAAAUAAAUAAACAAAUAUUAAAAAAAAAAAAAAAGCACAAGUGCCUUAAUGAAAAGGGUUUCUCUGUAAAAAAAUAAAUAAAAUAGAUAACUAAUGAGAACCUACUGUAUAGCACAGGGAACUCUACUCAAAGCUCUGUGUGACCUAAAUGGGAAGGAAAUCCAAAAAAGAGGGGAUAUAUGUAUAUGUAUAGCCGAUUCACUUUUCUGUACAGCAGAAACUAACAUAACAUUGUAAUGCAACUCUACUCCAAAAAAAAUUAAUUUAAAAAAAUUUUAAAUAAAUAAAUAUUCCAUCCAGAAUCUACUUAAAUGGCAAAAACCACUGUUACUUCUCACUGCUGCUCAGAACAGCUCCAUUCUAGACCAGCCAGCUCUUUCUGUUCUCAAUGUACAAAGCACCCAUUCCUUGUACCCUUGCAGAGAGGUUCCUUUCCACAGGGCUCAUAGGGCAUGCUCCUUUCCCUC